CCUCACCCCCUACCUCGGCCAGUCCGCCCCUGUCCUCUCCCCAUUCCCCCCUCAACCCCGGGCAGCGCCCCCACCCCCACGGCCAGAGGCAGCCAGGCAUGGAGGCGUCUGCCAGGCUGCCUGCAGGACAUCUGCACUCCCCACCUUCCAACAAACAAAUGGGAACCCACGCGUGAAGUGCUUGAGCGCGCAAAAUAUUUUAUUCAACAAUUUGCAGUGUAACAAUUUGCAUUUAGGAAAAAUAGCAGCUCCCACCUGCAGGAAGCUUCUCGAAUCAAAAGUGUCUCUUUAGUCUUAACAAGAACAGGAACAGUUUUCAGAACAGUCGAUGAAGCCUUAAAGCUCUGGGUCUGCCGAGCGGAGGUCUUCCCCAGGCCGGUCCUCACGGCCGGGUCAGCAAGGAGCAGCGGGAGGGCUCUCGGGUUCCAGAGCUGCUGGCAGGAAACUGUAUAAGCCACUUUCUUCAAGAUGUCACCAAUACUCAAGUGAUGACGCCCACGUGAGAGAGAGCCGGCCAUCUAGACGGAACUACGGAAACCAUUCUUGAGAAGGCGUAGCACUUCUCCAGCUUGCGGCCUCAGGGCCUCGACAGGAGACUCACCAGACUACUGUGUGCGCAAUGAAAUCAGGUCUCUUACAGUC
Non-coding RNA from Microcebus murinus (gray mouse lemur), 642 nucleotides. The record is from RefSeq and is a predicted model, not a curated record. Lineage: Eukaryota; Metazoa; Chordata; Mammalia; Primates; Cheirogaleidae.